AGAAAACAGCUUCUGAGCUGAGGACAGCUUGCUCUGCUUUUCUUUAGCUUAGGUGCUAACCAUGGU
This is a microRNA precursor of Cebus imitator (Panamanian white-faced capuchin), 66 nucleotides long. NCBI's taxonomy places the organism in Eukaryota, Metazoa, Chordata, Mammalia, Primates, Cebidae. The record is from Ensembl.